Equus quagga is the source of this 871-nucleotide long non-coding RNA. RefSeq lists it as uncharacterized. The record is from RefSeq and is a predicted model, not a curated record. NCBI's taxonomy places the organism in Eukaryota, Metazoa, Chordata, Mammalia, Perissodactyla, Equidae. The transcript is spliced from 3 exons.
GCCCCGAGCGCAGGCGGCGGCGCACGGACGGUCAGGCCCCGCGGACAGGCUCCGCUCGGGCCCCGCCGAGGGCGCGCAGCUGCUCCCCUCCGGGGCGCGGGCAGGGGCGGGCGGGGGCGCCGAGCCCGGGAGACUCCGCGCCUUCUUGGGCUGUGAACCCGGCGGAGCGGCUUGGCGGAGCUGCAGGAGGCCGCCAGCUCUCCAAUCGUGUCCUUCUGGGGUCGUCCUGGCAACUCACCAACUGCAGUAAAUAUCGCGAAAGGAGUUUGUCUCUUUCUGGGAUCAGCAGGUCUCAGCUGAUCCGUUACGUUCACCAUGGGAAUCUAAGAAUUUAUCAUCUGAGUGAAGAGUUGCCUUCCUCCCAGGGCUUCUCCAAGUUUUUCUCGAAGGAUUCCACCGGCCAGACAGGGCUCUGGAAGCUCAGCCCUCAAGACUUGCCGCACGUGGGAGGCUGCUGGGAGACCGUUUUGAAAAUGCAAGCACACACAGCAACAAGGACGCAUCCCACAAAUGAAACGUUCCGCAAAAGAAGUCUGCCUCAAACGACUGUGCACAAUAGUGUUCCAUUUACAUCAAGUUUUAAAGGGGGCCAAGCCAAUCGAAGGUGUCAGAAGCCAGUGUAGGGGCUACGUGGAGGAAGGGGGACAAUGGAGAGGGGCAUACCCCUUGGGAGGGGGCGCAAGGGGGACUUCUGGGGGGCUGGGCAUACUCUGCACCUUGAUUUGGAUGCUGGCUACACGGGUGUGCUCAGCUUGUAAAAAUUCAUCAAGCUGUACAUUUAGGAUUUAUACACCUUUCUGUCUGCGUGCUGCACGUCGAUAAAAUGUUAACAAAAUAAAAAAUACAAUAAAUUAAAAAAUACAUAAACAGA